GCUGGCGGCGUGCCUAGACAUGCAAGUCGAACGCGAAAGUUCCCUUCGGGGAGCGAGUAGAGUGGCGCACGGGUGAGUAACACGUAGGUAAUCUACCUUUGGAUGGGGAAUAACAACCGGAAACGGUUGCUAAUACCGCAUAAUGCAGCGGCACCUAAUGGUGACAGUUGUUAAAGCGGGGGAUCGUAAGACCUCGCGUCUGAAGAGGAGCCUGCGGCGGAUUAGCUAGUUGGUAAGGUAACGGCUUACCAAGGCGAUGAUCCGUAGCCGGCCUGAGAGGGCGGUCGGCCACACUGACACUGACAUACGGGUCAGACUCCUACGGGAGGCAGCAGUCGGGAAUUUUGGGCAAUGGGCGAAAGCCUGACCCAGCAACGCCGCGUGAAGGAUGAAAUCCUUCGGGAUGUAAACUUCGCAAGAACGGGAAGAAUAAACCGGUGUUAACACCACCGGCGAUGACGGUACUGUUUGUAAGCUCCGGCUAACUCCGUGCCAGCAGCCGCGGUAAUACGGGGGGAGCAAGCGUUGUUCGGAUUUACUGGGCGUAAAGGGCGCGUAGGCGGCCACUGCAAGUCGGUUGUGAAAUCUCCGGGCUUAACCCGGAAAGGUCA
RNAcentral lists this ribosomal RNA (611 nucleotides) under uncultured soil bacterium. RNAcentral's name for it is "bacterial SSU rRNA". It matches the Rfam family "Bacterial small subunit ribosomal RNA", at positions 35 to 625 of the family's 1533-position model. The record is from RNAcentral.